UACAGAGGGGACUAGCGUUGUUCGGAUUUACUGGGCGUAAAGGGCGCGUAGGCGGCCACCGCAAGUCAAUUGUGAAAUCUCCGGGCUCAACCCGGAAAGGUCAACUGAUACUGCGGGGCUAGAGUGCAGAAGGGGCAACUGGAAUUCUCGGUGUAGCGGUGAAAUGCGUAGAUAUCGAGAGGAACACCUGCGGCGAAGGCGGGUUGCUGGGCUGACACUGACGCUGACAGCGCGAAAGCUAGGGGAGCGAACGGG
This 255-nucleotide ribosomal RNA is filed under the name uncultured bacterium. RNAcentral's name for it is "partial 16S ribosomal RNA". It matches the Rfam family "Bacterial small subunit ribosomal RNA", at positions 524 to 776 of the family's 1533-position model. The record is from RNAcentral.